AAUGGCCAUCGCUCAACGGAUAAAAGCUACUCUGGGGAUAACAGGCUGAUACUGCCCAAGAGUUCACAUCGACGGCAGUGUUUGGCACCUCGAUGUCGGCUCAUCUCAUCCUCGAGCUGAAGCAGGUUCGAAGGGUUCGGCUGUUCGCCGAUUAAAGAGAUACGUGAGUUGGGUUCAAACCGUCGCGAGACAGGCUGGUCCCUAUCUAUUGUGCCCGCAGGAAGAUUGAAA
RNAcentral lists this ribosomal RNA (231 nucleotides) under Mycoplasmoides gallisepticum. RNAcentral describes it as "partial 23S ribosomal RNA". It matches the Rfam family "Bacterial large subunit ribosomal RNA", at positions 2437 to 2667 of the family's 2925-position model. The record is from RNAcentral. Lineage: Bacteria; Bacillati; Mycoplasmatota; Mycoplasmoidales; Mycoplasmoidaceae.